RNAcentral lists this transfer RNA (68 nucleotides) under Procyon lotor (raccoon). RNAcentral describes it as "transfer RNA-Val". It matches the Rfam family "tRNA". From Rfam's summary of the family: Transfer RNA (tRNA) molecules are approximately 80 nucleotides in length. Their secondary structure includes four short double-helical elements and three loops (D, anti-codon, and T loops). Lineage: Eukaryota; Metazoa; Chordata; Mammalia; Carnivora; Procyonidae. The record is from RNAcentral.
CAAAGCGUAGCUUAAUUAAAGCAUUUGGCUUACACCCAAAAGAUUUCACCCAUCCGUGACCGCUUUGA